GAACGUACGCUGGCGGCACGCCUAACACAUGCAAGUCGAACGAAGUAGCAAUACUUAGUGGCAGACGGGUGAGUAACAUGUAGGUAUCUGCCCUUUGGCCUGGAAUAACACGAGGAAACUUGUGCUAAUACCGGAUAAGUCUUUACGGAGAAAGCUUUAUGCACCAUUGGAUGAGCCUGCACUUGAUUAGUUUGUUGGUGGGGUAAUGGCCUACCAAGACUGUGAUCAAUAGCUGAUUUGAGAGGAUGAUCAGCCACAUUGGGACUGAGACACGGCCCAAACUCCUACGGGAGGCAGCAGUGGGGAAUCUUGCACAAUGGAGGAAACUCUGAUGCAGCGAUGCCGCGUGAGUGAAGAAGGCCCUUGGGUUGUAAAGCUCUUUCGUCGGGGAAGAAAAUGACUGUACCCGAAUAAGAAGGUCCGGCUAACUUCGUGCCAGCAGCCGCGGUAAUACGAAGGGACCUAGCGUAGUUCGGAAUUACUGGGCUUAAAGAGUUCGUAGGUGGUUGAAAAAGUUAGUGGUGAAAUCCCAGAGCUUAACUCUGGAACUGCCAUUAAAACUUUUCAGCUAGAGUAUGAUAGAGGAAAGCAGAAUUUCUAGUGUAGAGGUGAAAUUCGUAGAUAUUAGAAAGAAUACCAAAUGCGAAGGCAGCUUUCUGGAUCAUUACUGACACUGAGGAACGAAAGCAUGGGUAGCGAAGAGGAUUAGAUACCCUCGUAGUCCAUGCCGUAAACGAUGUGUGUUAGACGUUGGAAAUUUAUUUUCAGUGUCGCAGCGAAAGCGAUAAACACACCGCCUGGGGAGUACGACCGCAAGGUUAAAACUCAAAUGAAUUGACGGGGACCCGCACAAGUAGUGGAGCAUGUGGUUUAAUUCGAAGAUACGCGCAGAACCUUACCAACACUUGACAUGUUCGUCGCGACUCUAAGAGAUUAGAGUUUUCGGUUCGGCCGGACGAAACACAGGUGCUGCAUGGCUGUCGUCAGCUCGUGUCGUGAGAUGUUGGGUUAAGUCCCGCAACGAGCGCAACCCUCACUUUUAGUUGCCAUCAUUAAGUUGGGCACUCUGAAAGAACUGCCAGUGAUAAGCUGGAGGAAGGUGGGGAUGACGUCAAGUCCUCAUGGCCCUUACGUGUUGGGCUACACACGUGCUACAAUGGUAUCUACAACAGGAAGCAAGACUGCGAAGUUAAGCAAAUCCCUAAAAGAUACCUCAGUUCGGAUUGCACUCUGCAACUCGAGUGCAUGAAGCUGGAAUUACUAGUAAUCGUGGAUCAGCGUGCCACGGUGAAUGCGUUCCCGGGUCUUGUACACACCGC
Molecule: ribosomal RNA, 1319 nt
Filed under: uncultured Alphaproteobacteria bacterium
Lineage: Bacteria; Pseudomonadati; Pseudomonadota; Alphaproteobacteria
Description: bacterial SSU rRNA
Rfam family: Bacterial small subunit ribosomal RNA
Source: RNAcentral